GUUGAUGUAGCUUAAAAUUAAAGCAAAGCACUGAAAAUGCUUAAAUGAGUUAUUAACUCCAUAAACA
This 67-nucleotide transfer RNA is filed under the name Smutsia gigantea (giant pangolin). RNAcentral's name for it is "Manis gigantea (giant pangolin) tRNA-Phe". It matches the Rfam family "tRNA". Rfam says of the family: Transfer RNA (tRNA) molecules are approximately 80 nucleotides in length. Their secondary structure includes four short double-helical elements and three loops (D, anti-codon, and T loops). Lineage: Eukaryota; Metazoa; Chordata; Mammalia; Pholidota; Manidae. The record is from RNAcentral.